RNAcentral lists this unclassified non-coding RNA (360 nucleotides) under Hevea brasiliensis (rubber tree). The record is from RNAcentral. Lineage: Eukaryota; Viridiplantae; Streptophyta; Magnoliopsida; Malpighiales; Euphorbiaceae.
CUUUAUAGAAGCCGAUGGGUGGGACCCCCUACCCUAAUUGCCGACACUUCGAUUUUGUACAUUUUAUAGUACAUUAAUUAAAAAAAUUAAAUUAAAUAAAAAUAAAUGAAAAACAAGACAAUUGGAAUUUGGAUAGGAUGUCUCAUUAGGCGAACUCUCCAGUUGGAUAAGUCCUCCACCAAGUAAGUGCUGGUUUUAAAAGGACAUGGGGUGGACCUAGAAAAUGAAGAUUGCUCAAUUCAGAUUCAACAGAGUCCCAACGCGGAAGUCUACCUACCAUCAUUCAGUCACCAAAUAUCUUGUAAAGCAAGGAAUAAUUAAAAGACAGGGAUGACAAAAGUUUUCGCUUUAUGAUUUGAU